UUUCUCCUUGGAAAACGGUGGUAAUGCCGGAUGCUCCAGUUGAUCGCAUGGUCUUCUGGGAAAGCUUUCGCGGUAUGGGAUGGGGUCGCGUCCUAUCAGCUUGACGGCGGGGUAACGGCCCACCGUGGCUUCGACGGGUAGCCGGCCUGAGAGGGCGACCGGCCACAUUGGGACUGAGAUACGGCCCAGACUCCUACGGGAGGCAGCAGUGGGGAAUAUUGCACAAUGGGCGCAAGCCUGAUGCAGCGACGCCGCGUGAGGGAUGGAGGCCUUCGGGUUGUAAACCUCUUUUAUCGGGGAGCAAGCGAGAGUGAGUUUACCCGUUGAAUAAGCACCGGCUAACUACGUGCCAGCAGCCGCGGUAAUACGUAGGGUGCAAGCGUUAUCCGGAAUUAUUGGGCGUAAAGGGCUCGUAGGCGGUUCGUCGCGUCCGGUGUGAAAGUCCAUCGCUUAACGGUGGAUCCGCGCCGGGUACGGGCGGGCUUGAGUGCGGUAGGGGAGACUGGAAUUCCCGGUGUAACGGUGGAAUGUGUAGAUAUCGGAAAGAAAACACCACCCUUUUUCCGGGAGAG
This 572-nucleotide ribosomal RNA is filed under the name Bifidobacterium longum subsp. suillum. RNAcentral describes it as "bacterial SSU rRNA". It matches the Rfam family "Bacterial small subunit ribosomal RNA", at positions 144 to 725 of the family's 1533-position model. The record is from RNAcentral. Lineage: Bacteria; Bacillati; Actinomycetota; Actinomycetes; Bifidobacteriales; Bifidobacteriaceae.